ACCCCGCAGCUCCUUGAGGACGUUUGCUCUCACAACACAAGAAUCCUCUCCGAAUUUCAGGGUGAAGAAAACAUGAGUCACGUCUUACAUUUCCGUUGAUGACAGCAGUCAUUGGAACAUGCCCGAGGACCAUCAUUAAAUACUAAAAGGUGAGAGGAAGCCAUCUGGUCACCUCUGAGGGACUUCCAGAUCUUGAUGGCACUCCAUCUGCAUCCGUAACAAUUUACUCAUUACAUCAAGGGCAUGGAGAAAUUUGAAAGUGGACCUGUAUAGGAGAAACUCAGGUCUGAGUGGCGUGAUGCCAGGCAUACCAUGCUCAGACCGCCUUCUCUCAGCUGAGCACACCUAGACUGAGUUAAACAUGGUAAACAUAUUGCUACAGCAAGUAAUACAUUCACCUAGUAAUGCAUUCUUUUUUUUUUUCUUUUGAAAAGAGAUUCUCUACAAGAUGACAUCACUUGCUAUGCAAAACAGACAUGAAGAACAUGUUUGCUCCUUUCACACAUGGAGCGUCCUAUAUCAACAUCACACAGGGUUGUACAAGGAGUUUUCUUGGAUGUUGAAAUGGAAAAGCAUUCAUGGCUUCCCUGAAUUUUAUGACCACUGUAAACUCAAUUUCCAAAUAGCUGUUCUCUAGGUUAAGACAAUUACACAUCAAGUGUGGCUACUAGA
Non-coding RNA from Macaca mulatta (Rhesus monkey), 672 nucleotides. The record is from RefSeq and is a predicted model, not a curated record. Lineage: Eukaryota; Metazoa; Chordata; Mammalia; Primates; Cercopithecidae.